RNAcentral lists this ribosomal RNA (253 nucleotides) under uncultured bacterium. Its description in RNAcentral is "partial 16S ribosomal RNA". It matches the Rfam family "Bacterial small subunit ribosomal RNA", at positions 524 to 776 of the family's 1533-position model. The record is from RNAcentral.
UACAGAGGGGGCGAGCGUUGUUCGGAAUUACUGGGCGUAAAGGGCGCGUAGGCGGCCAACUAAGUCGGACGUGAAAUCCCCUGGCUCAACCAGGGAACUGCGUCCGAUACUGAUUGGCUUGAAUCCGGGAGAGGGAUGUGGAAUUCCAGGUGUAGCGGUGAAAUGCGUAGAUAUCUGGAGGAACACCGGUGGCGAAGGCGGCAUCCUGGACCGGUAUUGACGCUGAGGAGCGAAAGCCAGGGGAGCAAACGGG